Molecule: ribosomal RNA, 468 nt
Filed under: uncultured bacterium
Lineage: Bacteria
Description: partial 16S ribosomal RNA
Rfam family: Bacterial small subunit ribosomal RNA
Source: RNAcentral
GACGAACGCUGGCGGCGUGCUUAACACAUGCAAGUCGAACGGUGAAGCUCCAGCUUGCUGGUGUGGAUCAGUGGCGAACGGGUGAGUAACACGUGAGCAACCUGCCCCUGACUCUGGAAUAAGCGCUGGAAACGGCGCCUAAUACUGGAUACGAGAAGGGUCCGCAUGGGCCCUUUCUGGAAAGUUCUUCGGUUGGGGAUGGGCUCGCGGCCUAUCAGCUUGUUGGUGUGGUAAUGGCUCACCAAGGCGACGACGGGUAGCCGGCCUGAGAGGGCGACCGGCGACACUGGGACUGAGACACGGCCCAGACUCCUACGGGAGGCAGCAGUGGGGAAUAUUGCACAGUGGGCGAAAGCCUGAUGCAGCGACGCCGCGUGAGGGAUGACGGCCUUCGGGUUGUAAACCUCUUUCAGCAGGGAAGAAGCGAAAGUGACGGUACCUGCAGAAGAAGCACCGGCUAACUACGUG